UGCAAUCUGGAAGGCACCGUGAAAGUGUUUAAAAUGUUUAGGUGGCUUGUUUGGGAUGUAAUAGGUGACAAGACCUUUUGGAAGCUCAAGUUUGUUUUAAACGGUGGUUAUAAACUCUAGUUAUUUUGGAAAGGCACAAUUGCUGUUCAUGUAUUUUUCAAGUAAUGACUUCAACUUUUGGUCAUGCAUAGGUGCUGAAUUAUGAUUAAAUGUCACACGUCCCUUUUUCCAUCCUAGUUUAUGCUUGUUGCUUUUUUUAGUUUCAAUUUGCCGUGUAAUGAAAGUGGGAAAGUCUAAGAGAGAAAUGGGCAAUUUUCUUAGCCCAUAGAAUAAAUCUCUCAUGAGAUUUCAUAACCCUCAGUGCUGUCAAUAUGAAAUCCCAAGUAACUGUGCCAUAUCAGAAGAUUUGACUGGCUUUGCACGAAACCUUCCACUCCCUUUGGAAAAUGCAUAUAGAGAGAUGGAUAUAAUUUACCGGGAGAUUUUCAUUACUGCAUAUGGAAUUCAUCAAGAGCUUAAAAAUGGUCAUCAACCAGACAAGAUUGUUUAUUGAUCAUUCUGCACAGGUCUUGGGAAAGCUCUGCUUUCAACGAUUAGGUGCAGAAAUUUUGAAUUUUGGACGCGCGCUUUAUUCCCUCCAAGAAUUUAUUUUUCCCGCAACAUCCUUCCGGCAAAAUUUGAAGGCUCAUUACAGCAGAGGGAUAAUACUAUUAUAUAUAUACAUAGAAAGGCCGGUCCUCACUUAUCUCUCUCAAUUGAUCAAGCACGCAUAUGUUCUUCUCUCAAAGGCCAAGAUUGGUGGUUUUUAGUCCAAAAUGGAAGAACAGAUGCGGGAAUUGCUAAACGUGAAGGAGACCUCUGAGGAAUUGCUAAAAAAUGAAGGCCCACCUCCUGUCUAUCUCCUAAGAAUUGCAAAACGUGAAGGAGCUUAAGUUUUAUUGCUGUAAGAAAACCUCAGAGCAACUUCAAUACUUCAUCCAUUUGCUUCAAAUACUGUUAGAUCUAUAGUUUGGUGCCAUUUCGUGAAUCUUCAUAUCCUUCUUGUGCAUUCUUAUUACCAUUAUUGUGUUAGAUUUCUAAGAUUGCACUAUUUUCCUCACAAUUUUAGGAAAAUUGAGUUCCAACCAUUCUCUAGACUCUGUGAAGCUUCAUCAAGUGAGAUUUAAAGAGGGGCAGUGCUGAUAUGGAGCCAUAUCAAGUUAGUUCAAUGCCUUCUUUUGAACUUACCUACAAGUGUAAAGAACAGCUUCAUCAAGUGAGAUUUAAAGAGGGGCAAUGCUGAUAUGGAGCCACAUCAGGUUAGUUCGAUUGAAUGCCUUCUUCUGAACUUACCUACAAGUGUAAGGAACAGGUCAGCCUCUGUAUACAAACUAAGUGUCAGAGGCAAGAGGACUUGGGGGUGAUUUCAGGAUUCAUGGAAUCACAAUACCGGCUUGCAAUUUACUGAAGUUGAAGUUGCAGUUCCAUUCUACUAAUUUCUACAUUUGUACUAAACUCUAUUCCAACAUGGGUCGUUUGGGUUUAGGUGCUUUUUGUGCACUUAUUGUAAAACCUGAUUUCAGGUAUUAAUAUUUUGUUUCUUUUGGAUAUAUUCUCAUUGAUAGUUGACAAUUUUGGAUUGCCAAUUGGUUUCAAGCACUUCCUAUUGUAUGGCUCAAGAUAUUGAAAAAGCCGGAUGUUGAUGUAUUACUCUGCUAGCAAUUAUUUUUAGCUAA
Molecule: non-coding RNA, 1715 nt
Organism: Coffea arabica (coffee)
Lineage: Eukaryota; Viridiplantae; Streptophyta; Magnoliopsida; Gentianales; Rubiaceae
Source: RefSeq, a predicted model, not a curated record